This 497-nucleotide ribosomal RNA is filed under the name uncultured bacterium. Its description in RNAcentral is "partial 16S ribosomal RNA". It matches the Rfam family "Bacterial small subunit ribosomal RNA", at positions 28 to 507 of the family's 1533-position model. The record is from RNAcentral.
GAUGAACGCUGGCGGCGUGCCUAAUACAUGCAAGUCGAGCGAACAGACGAGGAGCUUGCUCCUCUGACGUUAGCGGCGGACGGGUGAGUAACAUGUGGAUAACCUACCUAUAAGACUGGGAUAACUUCGGGAGACCGGAGCUAAUACCGGAUAAUAUAUUGAACCGCAUGGUUCAAUAGUUAAAGACGGUUUUGCUGUCACUUAUAGAUGGAUCCGCGCCGCAUUAGCUAGUUGGUAAGGUAACGGCUUACCAAGGCAACGAUGCGUAGCCGACCUGAGAGGGUGAUCGGCUACACUGGAACUGAGACACGGUCCAGACUCCUACGGGAGGCAGCAGUAGGGAAUCUUCCGCGAUGGGGGAAAGCCUGACGGAGCAACGCCGCGUGAGUGAUGAAGGUCUUCGGAUCGUAAAACUCUGUUAUUAGGGAAGAACAAAUGUGUAAGUAACUAUGCACGUCUUGACGGUUCCUAAUCAGAAAGCCACGGCUAACUACGUG